This 73-nucleotide transfer RNA is filed under the name Caldanaerobius fijiensis DSM 17918. It matches the Rfam family "tRNA". Rfam says of the family: Transfer RNA (tRNA) molecules are approximately 80 nucleotides in length. Their secondary structure includes four short double-helical elements and three loops (D, anti-codon, and T loops). Lineage: Bacteria; Bacillati; Bacillota; Clostridia; Thermoanaerobacterales; Thermoanaerobacteraceae. The record is from Rfam by way of RNAcentral.
GCGCCUGUAGCUCAGUGGAUAGAGCGUUUGGCUCCGGACCAAAAGGCCGCGGGUUCAAUUCCUGCCAGGCGCA